Molecule: long non-coding RNA, 1510 nt
Organism: Cyprinus carpio carpio
Lineage: Eukaryota; Metazoa; Chordata; Actinopteri; Cypriniformes; Cyprinidae
Source: Ensembl
AUUUUGUGAAGUUGCACCAGAACAACCAUAUUUAUAAUGGAAAGAUAUUUUUGACCAUUUGUUUUUAACUGUAUAAUUUUUAACUGUAUCAGUGGCAUUGUGCUUUAAACUAACAUGUUUAAUUAAACAAGCAUAUUUACUAUGUUUUAAACAGCAUACUUGUUAAACACUAUCUAGUAAAUUAUUUAUUAUUGUACUUUGCAGGAUGUGUUGAAUGCACAGUAAAUAACUGGAACAUUUAUGAGGACAGGGCACCAAAAAUGGAGACUGGCCCAGAAGAACAGGGACAUCUGGUCACCCUAGAAAAGGAUGUUAAAAAACAAAGAGCUCUAUAAAAACUGGAGACAGCUAACCAUUAGUGUUCUCAUUUAUAUAAACAUUUGAUACAAAACAAAACAAACAAAAAAAAUGAAUAAUUUGAAAUGACCAUUUUUGCCUAUGGGUCCUCAAUAAACCAACCAUCUGAACUGAAUACCUUGUGACUAAAAACUGAAGAGCUGCAGGAAAACAAGUGGCUGAUGGCAUACAAGAACAAAUGCAAACCUUCACUUGUGGCUAUCCUGAGCUGUGGCAUCAAAGACAACAGACAAGGGAAAUAUAAAUCCAUGUCACACUUAAGAGCACAAAAACAAACGAAGGCUGGCCCGUGUGGUCCAAUCCAAUAGACAAGCUACUGUAGGUCAAAUUGCUCUUUAAGUUAAUGCUGGUUCUGAUGGAAAGGUGUCAGAAUACACAGUGCAUCACAGUUUGUUACAUAUGGGGCUGCAGAUCAGUCAUGUUCUGCCAACCAUGUGGAUGUUACUUUGACAUGUACCACCCACCUAAGCAUUGUUGCAGACCACGUACACCCUUUCAUGGAAACGGUAUUCCCUGGUGGCUGUGGCCUCUUUCAGCAGGAUAAUGCGCCCUGCCACAAAGCAAAAAAAGGUCAGGAAUGGUUUGAGAAGCACAACAACGAGUUUGAGGUGUUGACAUGGCCUCCAAAUUCUCCAGAUCUCAAUCCAAUCGAGCAUCUGUGGGAUGUGCUGAUCCAUGGAGGCCCCACCUCACAACUUACAGGAUUUAAAGGAUCUGCUGCUAACAUCUUGGUGCCAGAUACCACAGCACACCUUCAGGGGUCUAGUGGAGUCCAUGCCUCGACGGGUCAGGGCUGUUUUGGCAGAAAAGGGGGGACCAACACAAUAUUAGAACUUCCAGUAGGACCUUCAGGAGAACAUAACAGUGUACUAAAGUCACAAAGAAGAAGAAGAAAUAAAGGAAAAAUGAAAAAGCAAGAGCGAGAGAGAGAUGAACUCUGCACCCCAAAAGGCUUAAACUGAGAAAAUAGCCAAGCACAGCAGGUGACGUAAAUGGCAAAUACCGGGAUAGGUACACUCAGCAAGUAGGUGAGAUUACGCAAUAUAUGCCAAACUAAAUUUCAAAAGCUGAGGGGAAACACCAAGAAAACAUUACUGAAGUACUAGAUCAAGUCACUACUAAAACAAGGCCUUUUGCAUAAUCAUUAGAAGUG